RNAcentral lists this transfer RNA (72 nucleotides) under Candidatus Terrarchaeum hikurangii. RNAcentral describes it as "tRNA-Gly". It matches the Rfam family "tRNA". Rfam says of the family: Transfer RNA (tRNA) molecules are approximately 80 nucleotides in length. Their secondary structure includes four short double-helical elements and three loops (D, anti-codon, and T loops). Further hydrogen bonds mediate the characteristic L-shaped molecular structure. tRNAs have two regions of fundamental functional importance: the anti-codon, which is responsible for specific mRNA codon recognition, and the 3' end, to which the tRNAs corresponding amino acid is attached (by aminoacyl-tRNA synthetases). tRNAs cope with the degeneracy of the genetic code in two manners: having more than one tRNA (with a specific anti-codon) for a particular amino acid; and 'wobble' base-pairing, i.e. permitting non-standard base-pairing at the 3rd anti-codon position. Lineage: Archaea; Nanobdellati; Candidatus Terrarchaeota; Candidatus Terrarchaeia; Candidatus Terrarchaeales; Candidatus Terrarchaeaceae. The record is from RNAcentral.
ACGGCCUUGGUCCAGUGGCUAGGAUCUCGGCCUUCCAAGCCGAUGGCCCGGGUUCAAAUCCCGGAGGCCGUA